This 456-nucleotide ribosomal RNA is filed under the name Globigerina bulloides. RNAcentral describes it as "bacterial SSU rRNA". It matches the Rfam family "Eukaryotic small subunit ribosomal RNA", at positions 1184 to 1460 of the family's 1831-position model. The record is from RNAcentral. Lineage: Eukaryota; Foraminifera; Rotaliida; Globigerinidae.
UGUGGCUUAAUUUGACUCAACGCGGAAAAGCUUAUCUGGUCCGGACGCAGUGAGGAUUGACAGACAGUUUCAGGAGUGGUUCUUGGUAAACAAUUGAGAGAGUUGAAGUUCUUUCAUGAUCUUGUGAGAGGUGGUGCAUGGCCGUUCUUAGUUCGUGUAGUGAUAUGUCUGCCUAAUCGCGUCACGAUAACCUAUUGGUCGACAACCCAAUUAUCACAACUGCAGCAUAACUCCCCUUGGGUGGGCGAGGCUCUGUGUAGGAUAGACCUCUGAACAGUACGCAACGAACGCGAUCGUAAUCCCUUGUUGAGUGGCCAUCCUGUAAGCUGCUGGAUUAGGAACCCAGUGGUAUUAUCUCAGCCACAGAUUUUCUGGUUGUAAUGGGCCAGUUUUGAAACUCGGGGAACAUCUGUGACUUUCUUUCUUAACGCAGAGGAAGGUUAUGGCAAUAACAGG